CCCUCCCAUCCUGCCCCAGGCUCAGUGCUCAGCACAGUGGGGGUCUCUGUAAUGCCUGCUCCCUAGACCUAAGUGUGCCAUCCAUCAACCGAGAGAGGUGCUCCAGAGGACUGGCGCGAUGGCGAUGCCUGGGUCUGGGGCCAAGGGACGUGAAGGCAGGAGGACCCUGUCGGACAGACACACCUGGCUGUGACUUCAGCAUGCCCUUUUCUGAUUAAAGGUGGUGCUUUCAGGGAACUUUCCAGGCAUGUCGUAAUUGAUGGGAUGCUAGUAGCAUACAGCAAGACUGAAUACAGCUGAGCUGGGUCGGUGGGAAUACAGGAGAGCCCAGAAGCCCCUUUUCCCUAUGUUAAUUGGACCCUGUAAGGCUGCCGCCUGCCUGCAGCCUCCAGACGGGCUCAGCAUGCUGUCCGCUGGGCAGCAGGAGGUGGCUCAUUAAACACGGUGGUGACGGGCCCAGUGAUUCAUCACUCCAGUCGAGUGAUGUCAGGAAGAGGACAGUUUUCAGCUUCCCUACACUCAACAAGCAACACAGAACUGGGAAUUUGAAGAUGGCCUACCUUCAGGGAGCCUGCACCAUUCUGCCUGCCUCUGGGACUGGGCUGGACAUAUUUCCCAUGGUGUCCCUUUCUAGGAGUGUCUGAUUGGCAUCCCCAAUGCAGGAUUUCUGCCACCAUUUGCAGGAUUGCCGGGUAGAUGGGAACGGGCAGGGAGGGCAGGGGCUGUCACCUUCUAAGGACUGUCAGAGAGGGAGUUGGCUCAGAGGACAUUGCUCCAGGUCACACGAGCUGGUUGGCCGCUGGUGGUUCUGAUCCUGCAGUGGGGGGUACAGGAGAUUUGAAUCAAGUUUGAGCUGAAAAGUGGGAUCUGUAAAUUACUUUGGCUUAAAAUUCUGGGUAAGGGAUAAGGAGCCACAUUUUCCCUUUUUGCUUCCAAUCAGUUGAAAAAAGGCUCAAGAAGGAAAAAUCAAAUCUAACUCUUUGCAUGGAUAUUACCCCAAGGCUUGAAAGGUUCCCAGGUGUUCAUAGCCUGCCCCCAGGCCAGCCUCUCCUGGUGCCUGUCAUCCCUGGGGGCAGGGGGUGGGGGGGGCGAUGUGGCCAGAGAAGGCGUCCAUGUGCUGAAAGCCAGCUGGGAGGG
Molecule: long non-coding RNA, 1137 nt
Organism: Hippopotamus amphibius kiboko
Lineage: Eukaryota; Metazoa; Chordata; Mammalia; Artiodactyla; Hippopotamidae
Exons: 3
Source: RefSeq, a predicted model, not a curated record